AUUCAGCUGACGAGUCCCAAAUAAGACGAAAGAGCAUUUCAACUGGAU
Molecule: non-coding RNA, 48 nt
Organism: Schistosoma rodhaini
Lineage: Eukaryota; Metazoa; Platyhelminthes; Trematoda; Strigeidida; Schistosomatidae
Source: Rfam